RNAcentral lists this ribosomal RNA (423 nucleotides) under uncultured bacterium. RNAcentral describes it as "bacterial SSU rRNA". It matches the Rfam family "Bacterial small subunit ribosomal RNA", at positions 358 to 773 of the family's 1533-position model. The record is from RNAcentral.
GGAAUAUUGGACAAUGGGGGCAACCCUGAUCCAGCCAUGCCGCGUGUGUGAAGAAGGCCUUAGGGUUGUAAAGCGCUUUCAGUGGGGAGAAACGUAAUUUACUUAAUACGUAAGUUAAUUGAUGGUACCCACAGAAGAAGAACCGGCUAACUCCGUGCCAGCAGCCGCGGUAAUACGGAGGGUGCAACCGUUAAUCGGAAUUACUGGGCGUAAAGCGCACGUAGGCGGUUAGUUAAGCCAGCUGUGAAAUCCCCGGGCUCAACCUGGGCACUGCAGUUGGAACUGGCUAGCUAGAGUAUGGUAGAGGGGUGUGGAAUUUCAGGUGUAGCGGUGAAAUGCGUAGAUAUCUGAAGGAACACCAGUGGCGAAGGCGGCACCCUGGACCAAUACUGACGCUGAGGUGCGAAAGCGUGGGGAGCAAAC